Molecule: transfer RNA, 86 nt
Filed under: Strombomonas costata
Lineage: Eukaryota; Euglenozoa; Euglenophyceae; Euglenales; Euglenaceae
Also listed under: 1 other name
Description: tRNA-Ser
Rfam family: tRNA
About the family: Transfer RNA (tRNA) molecules are approximately 80 nucleotides in length.
Source: RNAcentral
GGAGAGGUGUCUGAGUGGUUUAAAGUACUGGUCUUGAAAACCAGCGUAACGUUAAGUUACCGAGGGUUCAAAUCCCUCCUUCUCCG